This 492-nucleotide ribosomal RNA is filed under the name uncultured bacterium. RNAcentral describes it as "partial 16S ribosomal RNA". It matches the Rfam family "Bacterial small subunit ribosomal RNA", at positions 29 to 507 of the family's 1533-position model. The record is from RNAcentral.
AGUGAACGCUGGCGGUAGGCCUAACACAUGCAAGUCGAACGGCAGCACAGUAAGAGCUUGCUCUUACGGGUGUCGAGUGGCGGACGGGUGAGGAAUACAUCGGAAUCUACUUUUUCGUGGGGGAUAACGUAGGGAAACUUACGCUAAUACCGCAUACGACCUACGGGUGAAAGCAGGGGAUCUUCGGACCUUGCGCGAUUGUAUGAGCCGAUGUCGGAUUAGCUAGUUGGCGGGGUAAAGGCCCACCAAGGCGACGAUCCGUAGCUGGUCUGAGAGGAUGGUCAACGAAACUGAAACUGAGAAACGGUCCACAAUCAUACGAAAGGCAGCAGUGAGGAAUAUUGGACAAUGGGCGCAAGCCUGAUCCAAACAUACCGCGUGGAUGAAGAAGGCGUUCGGGUUGUAAAACACUAUUGUUGGGAAAGAAAAGCAGCAGGUUAAUAACCCGCUGUUAUGAAGGUACCCAAAGAAUAAGCACCGGCUAACUUCGUG